Molecule: ribosomal RNA, 388 nt
Filed under: uncultured bacterium
Lineage: Bacteria
Description: bacterial SSU rRNA
Rfam family: Bacterial small subunit ribosomal RNA
Source: RNAcentral
AGAGUUUGAUCCUGGCUCAGAUUGAACGCUGGCGGAAUGCUUUACACAUGCAAGUCGAGCGGCAGCGCGGGGGCAACCCUGGCGGCGAGCGGCGAACGGGUGAGUAACGCAUCGGAACGUGCCCAGUAAUGGGGGUUAACUAACCGAAAGGUUAGCUAAUACCGCAUACGCCCUGAGGGGGAAAGCGGGGGAUCGCAAGACCUCGCGUUAUUGGAGCGGCCGAUGCCGGAUUAGCUAGUUGGUGGGGUAAAGGCUCACCAAGGCGACGAUCCGUAGCUGGUCUGAGAGGAUGAUCAGCCACACUGGAACUGAGACACGGUCCAGACUCCUACGGGAGGCAGCAGUGGGGAAUUUUGGACAAUGGGGGAAACCCUGAUCCAGCCAUUCC